GGCUCCAUAGUGUAGUGGUUAGCAUGUCUGCUUUACAUGCAGAAGGUCAUGGGUUCACCCCCCAGGUGGAACCA
Molecule: non-coding RNA, 74 nt
Organism: Pteropus alecto (black flying fox)
Lineage: Eukaryota; Metazoa; Chordata; Mammalia; Chiroptera; Pteropodidae
Source: Rfam